This 301-nucleotide ribosomal RNA is filed under the name uncultured bacterium. Its description in RNAcentral is "partial 16S ribosomal RNA". It matches the Rfam family "Bacterial small subunit ribosomal RNA", at positions 509 to 807 of the family's 1533-position model. The record is from RNAcentral.
CAGCCGCCGCGGUAAGACAGAGGAUGCAAGCGUUAUCCGGAAUGAUUGGGCGUAAAGCGAGCGCAGGCGGUCAAUUAAGUCUGAUGUGAAAGCCCCCGGCUCAACCGGGGAGGGUCAUUGGAAACUGGUUGACUUGAGUGCAGAAGAGGAGAGUGGAAUUCCAUGUGUAGCGGUGAAAUGCGUAGAUAUAUGGAGGAACACCAGUGGCGAAGGCGACUCUCUGGUCUGUAACUGACGCUGAGGCUCGAAAGCGUGGGUAGCAAACAGGAUUAGAUACCCCUGUAGUCCCUGUCUCUUAUAC